GUAGUCCACGCUGUAAACGGUGGGUACUAGGUGUGGGUCGCAUUCCACGUGAUCCGUGCCGUAGCCAACGCAUUAAGUACCCCGCCUGGGGAGUACGGCCGCAAGGCUAAAACUCAAAGGAAUUGACGGGGCCCCGCACAAGCGGCGGAGCAUGCGGAUUAAUUCGAUGCAACGCGAAGAACCUUACCUGGGUUUGACAUGUACUGGAAGCGCUCAGAGAUGGGCGUGCCUUUUCGGCCGGUUCACAGGUGGUGCAUGGCUGUCGUCAGCUCGUGUCGUGAGAUGUUGGGUUAAGUCCCGCAACGAGCGCAACCCUCGUCCAAUGUUGCCAGCAGUUCGGCUGGGGACUCGUUGGAGACCGCCGGGGUCAACUCGGA
RNAcentral lists this ribosomal RNA (377 nucleotides) under uncultured bacterium. RNAcentral describes it as "bacterial SSU rRNA". It matches the Rfam family "Bacterial small subunit ribosomal RNA", at positions 790 to 1167 of the family's 1533-position model. The record is from RNAcentral.